GCUUGACCAGAAGGUGAUUAAGGGACGGCCAGUCAGAAUCAGAUGCGCAGUUCCCAAAAAGGAGAACCAAAAAAUCAGUGAUAAUGGGAACUCAGAUCCUUCAAAGAGUAAGAUUCGGACAUGCUAUCAAUGUGGCACCCCUGGGCACCUCUCUUCUGCUUGCCCAAAUAAGAAGGAUUCUGAUGUAAGGAAAUGCUAUGAAUGUGGCACCCCUGGGCACCUCUCUUCUGCUUGCCCAAAUAAGAAGAACUCUGAAGUAAUUUCUGGUGAAAACAAGGGUACAGUUGACUCAGCUAUAGCAUCGUCAAACAAGAGGCGAACAUGUUAUGAAUGUG
Molecule: long non-coding RNA, 335 nt
Filed under: Setaria viridis
Lineage: Eukaryota; Viridiplantae; Streptophyta; Magnoliopsida; Poales; Poaceae
Description: long non-coding RNA (SVIR_LNC002569)
Source: RNAcentral